Molecule: long non-coding RNA, 1794 nt
Filed under: Lactuca sativa (garden lettuce)
Lineage: Eukaryota; Viridiplantae; Streptophyta; Magnoliopsida; Asterales; Asteraceae
Description: long non-coding RNA (LSAT_LNC008063)
Source: RNAcentral
CUCAACUCCCUCUCAAACAAUGCACACUGUAUUGUUUAAUUACGUAUGAAAAUAAGAUGAAGAGAAAGAGUAGUUGUAACUCAUACGGCUGCAUAUAUUUCCAGAAAAAUAAAAGGCUUUUAUAGCCUACAUAACCUAAUGGAGCUAAACAAACUAAACUCAACUAAGCCCACGUUCCCUAAUUUUAAUCAUCCAUUAACAGGGCCCCAAAUACUCGUUCCUAACAUGACCUAUUCUACCUAGUUAUUUGACUCACAAAAUAAAAACAAAUACUAAAAUAAACUAAAAACAUAUGUCAAGAUUAAAACCUACAUUCACCCCCUUAAUCUUGACUCGUUUCUUCAUCAAAGCAGUGCCGGUUCUUCCUCUUGGAGCAAGUUUGCUUCUCUGUUGUUGUCUUUGUCAUCCCACUUUGUGCACUCAUAACUAAAGUGCCCAAAGUCUCCACAAUUAAAGCACCGAAAUCCACUUUUAUCACCUCGACCUCUUCCUCUUCCUCGGCCUCUUCCACCGCUUUCAAAGUUUCUUCCACGUCCUCUUCCGUGUCCAUUACUUUCACCAUGUUUUUGUUCACCCGCCAUCAUCAGUUGAUCAUGAUCUUCUUCCUUUUCUUCAAGGAUUUGCAGCCUUUCUUCAUAAGCUUUAACCCUUCCAACCGCUUCUUCAAAUGUCAUAGUUUCUAGAUCGGAAUACUGUUCAAUGGGAGCUACAAUGGGUAAAUACUUCUUUGGAACCGAAUUGAAAAAUUUUCUUACAAUCACCUCCUCCUCAAGAGUUGAACCAAGACUUUUGAAUUUGGCAGCAAUACCACUUAUUUUGCCCGAAAAGUCAUUGAUUGACUCAUUGUCCUUCAUCUUCAGCGUCUCCAAUUCGUUUCUCAAAAUUUGUAGCCUUGCUUUUUGCACCCGUUCGGCUCCUAUAUAACGGACCUUGAUUGAUUCCCACACUUCUUUGGCACUUUGGUGUUUAGCAACCUGCAAGAGAACAUUUUCCGGUAGAGUUUGAAAAAUUAUACCUUUAGUGGUAUAAUUUUUCUUCUCUUCAACCACAUCUUUGGUUAUAGCAUCCCAAUGUCCAUAUGCCCUUAACACAGUUUCAAUCAUAAUAGACCAAGUGGUGUAGUUAGUUUCUGUUAAUUUUGGGCAUUGAAAUGGUACAGCAGUACCUUGAACUACAAUCUCUUUUGAACCCCCUUGGUUUGAUCCUCCUUGGUUUGAUCCUCCUGCCAUUCUUCUUUCUUUUGCAAGUAAUUUGGUAAAAAGAGUUGUACCUUUCUGUUUCUUUCUUUCUCAGGUAGACAACAACGGGUUGUCACAAUCUUCUUUCUUCUUUCUUUCUUUCUUUCCUUCUUUCUUUCUAUCUUCUUUCUUCUUUCUUUCUUCUUUCUUCUUUCUUCUUUCUUCUUUCUUCACACUAGUUUUGUUGCUGUGCAGCCGAUCCUCAAACCUUCAUGCGAUUUACAUGUAAUCGCCCACCUCCUUCUUCUAAUCGAGCCUAGGCUCUGAUACCAAAUGUUGGAAAUCAGGCCCUCAACUCCCUCUCAAACAAUGCACACUGUAUUGUUUAAUUACGUAUGAAAAUAAGAUGAAGAGAAAGAGUAGUUGUAACUCAUACGGCUGCAUAUAUUUCCAGAAAAAUAAAAGGCUUUUAUAGCCUACAUAACCUAAUGGAGCUAAACAAACUAAACUCAACUAAGCCCACGUUCCCUAAUUUUAAUCAUCCAUUAACAGGGCCCCAAAUACUCGUUCCUAACAUGACCUAUUCUACCUAGUUAUUUGACUCACAAAAUAAAAA